This is a long non-coding RNA of Vigna radiata var. radiata (mung bean), 1139 nucleotides long. RefSeq lists it as uncharacterized. The transcript is spliced from 2 exons. The record is from RefSeq and is a predicted model, not a curated record. Lineage: Eukaryota; Viridiplantae; Streptophyta; Magnoliopsida; Fabales; Fabaceae.
CUAAUCACAAACAGUUACAUAUACCUUAUAAAAAAAGUUGGGGUGUUACUCUCUCCACCCCCACUGCACCUCCCCAAAAUUUAAAAGUUUUUUGUAAUGUCAAAAAUACCCUUUUUACCUUAUUUAUUUACUUUCUCUUUCUCUUUCUAAAACCUAAUUCCUUACCCAUUUUCACUGUUUUCUUUGCAGCUCACCCCCCCCCACCCCCAAAUUCCACAUUCGUCUUCUUCCCACCUUCCCACACCCUCAGAUCUGUUUGCUUCCAACCCACAUCCGUUUCUUCCAAUCCCCUAAGUCUCACUUUCUCUCAUUUCUUUUGUUGGUGGUGCAGUGGUUAUUCGAGGUGCGACGUUGUGAUAGUGUGUGCGGUGGUCCGUCGGCGUUGCGGAGGUGCGGCGGUGUGUAGUGGUCAUUUGGUGCUUCCUUCUUGUGCAGGUCUACGAGAGGACGAGACCAUGAAGUUGCUUAGACAGAUGGUUAGAAUCUCUGGUAAAGAAGAAUCAGCGAAAGUAGAGCUGAGACCCAUGUUUGCAGAACUCAUGUUCAACAUACUCAUCAGAAUGAUGUGCGGAAAACGCUACUACGGUGAGGAAUACGAUGACACCACCGCUGAGGAGACUAAGAAGUUUAGAGAGCUCAUGAAUGAGAUAUCGCAAUUUGGGUUGGGGUCCAACCUCAGAGAUUUUGUGCCGCUUUUGAGAAUUUUUCAGAGUCAAAAGGUUACGAAAGGUUGGAGAGAAGCUAGAUGCGUUCUUCCAAGGACUCAUUGAUGAGCAUCGGAAUAAGAAGAAAGUUCAAAUACCAUGACGACCAAGUGUGAGAGGUGAAAAAAGAAAAAGGAUCUCAAAAACUUGGAGAACGGAUCUCAAGAGGUUGGGGUGAGGUAGGGUAAAUAACAUUAAAACUAAAAAAAGUAAAAAGGUUAAAAAAGUAAAGUAAAAAAAUAUUUUUGUAAUCAAAAAAAUAUUCAAGAAAGAUGGGGAGGUGGAGGGAACAAAGGAGAGGUGCAGGAACAACACCCGAAAAGUGGUUAAAAAAGUAUUGUUAAGAGAACUUUUUCCUUUUAUAUUUAUGACUCAAGAAUAUGAACAUUUUAUAGGCCCUUUUCACCAUAACCGUCACCCUCCUCCUCACAACAU